Glycine soja is the source of this 243-nucleotide long non-coding RNA. RefSeq lists it as uncharacterized. Lineage: Eukaryota; Viridiplantae; Streptophyta; Magnoliopsida; Fabales; Fabaceae. The transcript is spliced from 4 exons. The record is from RefSeq and is a predicted model, not a curated record.
AGGUGAACGAGAACGAAUGAGUGAACAAAUCAUGGUAUUGGAAAACAAGUUGUUGGAAGCACUAGAUUGGAAAUUUAUGCAUGAAACAGAUCUGAAAAAAAAUUCUGAUUUGAUGAUCGAAGAUGUACAUAAUGAUGGUAAUCUCAUCUCCAAACAGGAGUCAAGUUGAAAAUCACGAUGGCAGUCUUUGGUUAGGGAGGAAAAUGAGUUUCUCAAUAUUCAGGUCUAGAUCACACUUGAUGC